Molecule: long non-coding RNA, 4002 nt
Organism: Gallus gallus (chicken)
Lineage: Eukaryota; Metazoa; Chordata; Aves; Galliformes; Phasianidae
Source: Ensembl
GAGUGGCAGGGACUGCUGUGUGGUUGAGGCUCCGCCAACUCAGAGACUCCUUUGGACAUAGUCUCAUUUGCUACUACUAUAUGGUUGCAUAUUUGCAGGCAGAGCACAAGCUGUCCUCUUGGUGCCAUAAGCCAUGAACUGCCAGCCUUUUUCAUUUUGAGAGUCUCCAUUUCCCCGACUGAUAAGCUCAGACUUGGCUGUCUCUCCUUCAGUACUGCUGAGGGUUCAGGCUCUUGAAGCUGCAGGAUUUUGUAGACAAUCUGUUUAAUCUGCUUUGAGCAGAGGGUUGGACAAAGUGAUCUCAAUGCUACCUUCCAACCUCAAAUAUUCUGUGAUACUGUAAAACUGCUGCACAGACUGCUCUGUCUCUUGGUUUUCUGUACUGGCUGUGGUUCCUAUCUUUCCUUCUCUUCCUGCCGCUCCUAGAUUUGGAGGCUAUAUCUCAUCCUAUGCACUGUUUUGUUUCAUUUUUACAAAUUAAAUGAACAAUAGAACUAUUUGGUCCAGGGAUUUCUCUAUCUGUGUCAAUCUAAUGCAGACUCGAGUAUGAGGGGCUAUGAACAGCCACUUCUUACUGAAUGAUUGGUGCAUUAAUCCAUAUUUACUGUUAUUAUUUUAUGAAUUUUGAAAUCUGUAGUCAUAUCUCAUUCAGAUAAAUCUACUAAAGUGAGUGGAAGUUUAGCUGUGUAACAAAUGGGUAAUAAAUGAAUAAGACCUCCAGGAUUUGGCAUGCUAAUGAUUAUAAUUUAACACUACUAUAGCUCUUUCCAACUUCAAAGUGCUUCACGAACAUUAACCAUUCUAAUUAAUUUCAUUUAGAGAUGUUCCUACUGUAUCUUUUCCUCUACUGAGCACUGUAGUACACUUACUGCUGUAUUGUAAUUCAAAGGUUGUUAUGGUAAAGAUUUUGACAAGAACAGAGAAUCCCCUGUGAAAAUUUGCAAUUGUGCUAAUUACAUCAGAGAUCAGAUGUCAAGAUUAUCCUUGAAAAAGAUCCUAGCACAUACCACAGGUAUACCAAGUCUCUCAAUAGAAGAGCUAGACUUGGCCAAUCUACCACUUCCUCUGGCAUUUCCCUGCUGUAGGGAUAAACAGAUUUAAUAACUUGCAAAAUUGAUUGAAAGCCAUGUUAACAUUCAUACUCAGGCUCAGAAAAUGCAGAUGAGGAAACAAAGAACCUAUGUAACUAUCCUACCACUACCAGUCAACUUGUCAAAGCCAAAUAAAGUAGGACAGAAGAAUGACAUAUGAUUGUAAGACAGUGAGGCAUCUGUGUUUCAUAAUUUUCCUAUCCUGAGAUACAUUACUCAAAGUGUUAUCUUGUUAGGCUAUCUUACUGGGAGUUACAAAAGACAGUGUAAUAGAUACGUAUCAGUAAUUUGACAGAUUGGUCCAGCAUCCUCACUAUGGGGAGCUGGCUGUCAGUUUUGGGAUGUCUUUUCACAGGCCUUGUAUAUGUAGUAGGAGUAGACUGUGAGCAAAAGCAUUUGGCCACCCAGAGGUACAAGAGGGGUUGCCCUUCUGCUAAGGGCUGUCUGAACAGCUUUCCCUCUUGGUGUUUUUUUUUUUUGUUUUAGGCAAUUCAGUAAGGCACCAUCCCUUGGAAGCCCAGCAGUUGGUGUAUUGAUAUUUUAAGUUCCUGUCCUAGGACGUAGUAGCACUGUCCAUGGGGAAGUACCCACAAGCCAUGGAGCAUCUUGUGAUCGGGAAAUGAUGUCUGACUAGAAUGCCUAUAGAGGUUCUCUCUUCCAAGCUAAAGAAGACUUCUCAAGUUGGAUAUCUCAGUAAUGGGCUCCUGACUCCAUCUAUGCACUUUAGAAAUGUUGACAUUCAGAACUUAAGGUCACUCUGCUAUGUUGGAUGACAGGGAGAGUAGUGACUCAUACUCUGCCAUAAAUCUGAGGAAUGUCAAGAAAAUUCAGAGGAGUUCUUCAAAUGGAGAUCAAAAGCAGAAACUUUUUGUAGACUUACGAAGUACCCAGAAACAUGAUGAAAAUGGCUUAUGAGGCAGAGAGCCACAUUUAAACAAGGACCUGUAGAAAGAGAACAUUGCUGUUAUGAGUAAUGCUAAUUCUCUGGUAGCUUUGGAAAAAAAAUCAGGAGAAAACCUGAUUCAAGUUUCUUCUCUGAUUUCUUCACAGGAAAAACGAUUUGAAUCAAGGAGAGAUAUUCAUUGCUGUGUACUGAAGAUAUGUUUCAAUACUGUCUAGUAUACUUAACCAAUUAUUGGGAUAACUCUUUAGCAAGGAGAGGAAGACAUUCACCUGAGAAGGAAAGUGAAGCCCUAUGCCAGUAUUAGAUUACUUGGCUUUACAAGGACAACAAGACUGUUAGGCAUACUUCAAUUUCUAGGCCAAUCUCAUGGUGGUGCAAAAUGUUGCUUCAUGUUUCCUCAAGUGUAGAAGGGAUCUGAAUCUGAAUCACCAACACUCAACCUAUACUCAUAUAAUUAGUGAUUGAACUAAAACAGAGAAGAUUUUUUUUUUUCCUGAUCAUUUUUUAAGUGUAGGCCAUCAUUACCUUAAUUUCCCAAGCUGUAGGAAUGAGGUAUUAGAUGUCAUGAAAUGAAAUGAAUAUUGGAUAAGAAAAAAAAAAAUGUAAAUCUGUUUCCUCUGGAAUACUUCUGAUUCUUAAAUUUGCCUUCCAAACAGAAAAAAUGGUGAUUUCUAUGGCUUUAGUUUUGAUGAGAUUAUCAAUUCUUCCAUGCAGAUUCUCUUUCAGAAAUGAAGUUUAGCCUGUUACUUUGUCUUAAAAUUGAUGUCUAGUCUUAAAGUAGAGAGCAGAGCAAAAUGUAGAGCAGGUGAAAGAUUAGAAUUUAUGUAGGCUUAAAACUGAUUGUUAAGAGGGAAUUUAUUGAACCUUAUAAAAUCCUCAAUUGCAUGCAUAAUGUCCCUAUAGUUUACUGUUUCCUUUAAUAUAAACCAAGGAAUUAUAAGUAUGGAACAGAUGGUAUGAAACACGUUUUCCAUACCGAGAAUUGUAAGUGCAUCUUCCUGCAGAAAGGUUGUUGAAACAGUUUCUAGGACUAAAAAUUCUAACCUGUAUUUAAUCUGUGUAAAAAAAUAUAGGUGUGAAGUUUUGAUCACUGAACUUAGUUUAUGAAAUGCAAACCCUAAGACAAUCUAUUAGUCCACUUGAGAUACUCAGCUAUAGAAGAAAUAAGGAAUUGCUCUGGAAUUAUGACAGAAUUUGACUGUGGUGAAUGUUGAUGCCCUGUGAAACUAAGAGGAAGGGAAAACGUACACAACAGAACCCAAUGAGUAAUCUUUUGUCAGUCUUUUUGGUUUCCCUUUGUAUUUUUUUAACUACAUAAUUUCUCUUUUUAGUGGUCCUGAAAUCCUUUCUAACUAUCACCUAGCAUCCAUGCAUUUGCAGAUCCUAUUGGUAUUCUUGUGAUAGAAUUUUCUACACAUAUAGAGUUGUCUCUGAGCUACCUGUCUGUACCUCUCACUCAAAAAUCUUCUUCAGGACUAGUUUUGAAGAGAUUUUACUGAAGAAUUCUGUUGAUCGAUGAACUCUACAGCAUGUUCAUAGGGCAUAAAGAGAGGAAGAACAUUUUGGGAAGAACAUAAAGGUCUGCAAGAUGGAAAUGAAUUUACUCUCAAAAACUGUAUAACCUGUGAAGAUAGGUAAAUAAUUUUUAAGGUUGAUUUAUUCCUUGUAGGAGUUAAAUUCUUCUCUGGAGUUGUCAUUCUCUCUCCUUUCACAAUGUGAGGAGCAGAAUGGCACAAAAAUCUGUCAACAAGCCAAAUCCUUAUUUACAUUGAAGUCAUUUCAGAGUUGUGUUAUGGUAACCAAAAUUGAAGUGUUGAUAAUCAGUGCAACAAUUCCAGAUUAAAUUACAAUCUAAUGCUGUUUCUUCUGUUAUGUCCGGGUAAAUCAGGAAGGUUUUUAUAGUGACUUUGGUGUCAUUGGCAUGGAUUUCAAAUGGUUUAAUUAAGAUUAAUUGGAGCCUGUAUCUCUGAAAUGUCUGUUGCAGAUGUUUUUUGAAUAAAGAUGUAU